This is an RNA transcript of Folsomia candida, 1603 nucleotides long. RefSeq lists it as uncharacterized. NCBI's taxonomy places the organism in Eukaryota, Metazoa, Arthropoda, Collembola, Entomobryomorpha, Isotomidae. The record is from RefSeq and is a predicted model, not a curated record. The transcript is spliced from 4 exons.
UAGGUGAAUAACUUGCAUUGUUUGCUGGGACAUCAACCAUUCCUCAAAUCAGGUAUAGUCAAAUACAUACAUACUUUUUAACCGAUUAGGAUACAAAUAGAUAAAUAAAUAUGUGACCUGGGUAAGUGUACACAAAAUGAUAAGAAGUGUCCGUCCUCACCAACAAUUCCCUUAUUUAUGUUCACAACGGCCAAUUUUACGGUUCAUUGACGUCUUGCAAUUCGCUCACAUUUUACACAACUGAGAAAAAACUAAUCAUCAAACCAUCCUUUACAUCUCUUCCUAAUCACAACGACUAGGCAAAAUUAUUUGUGACAACGUCUGUUUUUGAAUGUCUAUUUCACAUUUACAGUUUCCUCGAUCCCUUUGAUAAAUAAGGCCGCAGACAGUUAUUCCUUUAAACACGUCAACGUUAUAUUUCCCCGGAAUGAUUCACAUCCUUGUUUGCGGUUUACCAAAAUCUGGGACGACUAGCCUAAAAAAUCUCGGGGGAUAUGCGGGAUGAAAUUAUCCGACUGCGGAGAGAAACACGGGAGAAAAUUUUAUUUUGGAUUAGGAAACAUGUCCAUGCGCCAGGGUUAAGGUUCAUCCACCAAAACCACAACCGCAAGGAAGAAGUUUUUGUUUGAUUCUUUAACCGAUUGUAAGGUUUCUUUUUGGAAAUUCUGUAUUUUAUAGGUCCUGGAAGUUGUAAGGUGAACGACCUACCAAAAUGCACUCCUGGGAUUCUUUUAAUGCUUGAAUUAUUUAAAUGAAUCUGGGACGACUAGCCUAAAAAAUCUUCUAGAGUUGGGUAACCAUGACGAAAACCAAACCGUUGAAGAAAUGCAGAUUGGUCGCAUUGAGGAAACCUUGGCCAACCUCAACCCGUCUAUUCCCACCUGCAUAAUCUACACUUUGAGAAAGGGCCGUGUUACAUCCGCCCUUGACGCUUUGUCCAUAAAGGAACGGCAAUACCUAUUCAACGACAAAGUUCCCACAAUCCUUUACAUUUCUCACUGCGACAACCUGUCGGAUAACACCUGGUGGAAAAUUAAUUCCGCAUUCGUCCAACAAUUCGGAAUUAUUCCUUGUCGUGAAGUAAUCCAUGGUUCAAUCCGGACGUGUUCGUCGAAUGGGUGGGACCCAGAGCCGAGAACCGAACUAAUGACUGCAAUCCAGAAGAAUUCUGGGACUGAGUGGAUUCAAGAAAUUCAAAAUGAGAUGCGAAACCGAGGAACACUCUUAGGAAGGGGGUUCCCGCUCCUGCCUAGAUUUCUUUACGGUCUCGCUAGCAUUUGUGUAUCUUAUUGCGUUACUAAAUCAGUUAGAAGGUAUUGUUUCAUUCCAAGAUUUAUAAUUGACGUGUACGGAUCUGGGUUAGUUAAAAAGGUUGUUAAUGUCUUGGCAUCCGUGCGGGAUUUUGUUUUCGCGCAUCGCAAUCGUCGAGAGGGCCCAGGCCUGGGGGAAAUUGAACUUUACGUGGUCUCCAGCUAUUAAAUCAAUCAACAAAAAUAUUUUAUCAAAAAAGUUUGACUUAAAAAACUAGGCUAGAAUUGAUCUGAUGGGCAUUGUAAUUAAUUUGUUUAGUGGAAUAAAGUGUGGUUUAUUUAUAUUCGAAAAA